This is a long non-coding RNA of Gossypium arboreum, 479 nucleotides long. RefSeq lists it as uncharacterized. The record is from RefSeq and is a predicted model, not a curated record. Lineage: Eukaryota; Viridiplantae; Streptophyta; Magnoliopsida; Malvales; Malvaceae. The transcript is spliced from 3 exons.
UGUGGGAUUUUAUCAGAUGGCUAAGAUUGCUGUCACGCCAUCUAUUGUCCUUGCAGAGUUUAUAUGGUACAAGAAGAAAGUCACUUUCUCCAAGGUCUUGGUUAACAUUAUUGAAUGUUUUUUUAUAUAUGCAAAUGGUCUGCAAAUGAUUUUGUCAAGGCUGUAGGACAGGAUUAUGAGAAGGAAAACUUAACGAAAGGAAUUGAAGUUUCUUAGUGCUACCUUUAUAGAAAUAAGAGCUCAACAGAGUUUCUUGGAAUUGAAGUUGCAGUUUCAAACUGUAUUAGCUUUUAUGUAUUACAACAUCAAUAUCAAUGUCCAUCAUCUUAGGUACUUCUUUAUUUGUUUACUUUUGUACAUUGAUGUUGGUGGUAUAUAUACAUUUAAGCUAAAUGUUAGUGUAUUUUGAUUGUUGGAUCGAUUUUUGUAUUGAAUAUUCAAUCUUUAUUUUAAUUUUAAUUUUAAUUUUGUAUUUUAAA